CAGUAGCCGCGGUAAUACGUAGGUGGCGGGCGUUGUCCGGAAUUAUUGGGCGUAAAGGGAGCGCAGGCGGACAUAUAAGUCCAUCUUAAAAGUGCGGGGCUCAACCCCGUGAGGGGAUGGAAACUGUAUGCCUUGAGUGCAGGAGAGUAAAGCGGAAUUCCCAGUGUAGCGGUGAAAUGCGUAGAUAUUGGGAGGAACACCAGUGGCGAAGGCGGCUUUCUGGACUGCGACUGACGCUGAGGCUCGAAAGCCAGGGGAGCGAACGGGAUUAGAUACCCCAGUAGUCCCUGUCUCUUAUACC
Molecule: ribosomal RNA, 301 nt
Filed under: uncultured bacterium
Lineage: Bacteria
Description: partial 16S ribosomal RNA
Rfam family: Bacterial small subunit ribosomal RNA
Source: RNAcentral